GGUUAAGUGACUAAGCGUACACGGUGGAUGCCUUGGCAGUCAGAGGCGAUGAAAGACGUAGUAACUUGCGAUAAGCCCAGAUUAGGUAGUAACAACCAUUUGAGUCUGGGAUUUCUGAAUGGGGAAACCCACGUGCAUAAGCACGUAUCCUUACCUGAAUACAUAGGGUAAGGAGGCGAACCGGGGGAACUGAAACAUCUAAGUACCCCGAGGAAAAGAAAUCAACCGAGAUUCCGAAAGUAGCGGCGAGCGAAAUUGGACUAGCCCUUAAGCUUUACACGCGUUAGACGAACGGUCUGGAAAGUCCGACGAUACAGGGUGAUAGUCCCGUAGUUGACGACGUGUGUUCAGUGAAAUCGAGUAGGGCGGGACACGUGAUAUCCUGUCUGAAUAUGGGGGGACCAUCCUCCAAGGCUAAAUACUACUGACUGACCGAUAGUGAACCAGUACCGUGAGGGAAAGGCGAAAAGAACCCCUGUGAGGGGAGUGAAAUAGAACCUGAAACCGUGUACGUACAAGCAGUAGGAGCAGGCUUUGUCCUGUGACUGCGUACCUUUUGUAUAAUGGGUCAGCGACUUAUAUUCAGUGGCAAGGUUAACCAUCUAGGGGAGCCGUAGGGAAACCGAGUCUUAACUGGGCGUUCAGUCUCUGGAUAUAGACCCGAAACCAGGUGAUCUAGCCAUGGGCAGGUUGAAGGUUGAGUAACAUCAACUGGAGGACCGAACCGACUAAUGUUGAAAAAUUAGCGGAUGACUUGUGGCUAGGGGUGAAAGGCCAAUCAAACCUGGAGAUAGCUGGUUCUCCCCGAAAGCUAUUUAGGUAGCGCCUCGGACGAAUACUACUGGGGGUAGAGCACUGUUAAGGCUAGGGGGUCAUCCCGACUUACCAACCCUUUGCAAACUCCGAAUACCAGUAAGUACUAUCCGGGAGACACACGGCGGGUGCUAACGUCCGUCGUGGAGAGGGAAACAACCCAGACCGCCAGCUAAGGUCCCAAAUUACUACUAAGUGGGAAACGAUGUGGGAAGGCUCAGACAGCCAGGAUGUUGGCUUAGAAGCAGCCAUCAUUUAAAGAAAGCGUAAUAGCUCACUGGUCGAGUCGGCCUGCGCGGAAGAUGUAACGGGGCUAAGUAGUAAACCGAAGCUGCGGCAAUGUGCUUUUGCACAUUGGGUAGGGGAGCGUUCUGUAAGCGGUUGAAGGUGUGUGGUAACGCAUGCUGGACGUAUCAGAAGUGCGAAUGCUGACAUGAGUAACGAUAAAGGGGGUGAAAAACCUCCUCGCCGGAAGACCAAGGGUUCCUGUCCAACGUUAAUCGGGGCAGGGUAAGUCGACCCCUAAGGCGAGGCCGAAAGGCGUAGUCGAUGGGAAACGGGUUAAUAUUCCCGUACUUCUUACAAUUGCGAUGGGGGGACGGAGAAGGCUAGGUGGGCCUGGCGACGGUUGUCCAGGUUCAAGUGCGUAGGCUUAAGAGUUAGGUAAAUCCGGCUCUUUUUAAGGCUGAGACACGACGUCGAGCACCUACGGGUGUGAAGUCAUUGAUGCCAUGCUUCCAGGAAAAGCCUCUAAGCUUCAGAUUGUAAGGAAUCGUACCCCAAACCGACACAGGUGGUCGGGUAGAGAAUACCAAGGCGCUUGAGAGAACUCGGGUGAAGGAACUAGGCAAAAUGGUACCGUAACUUCGGGAGAAGGUACGCUCU
Molecule: ribosomal RNA, 1698 nt
Filed under: Vibrio parahaemolyticus
Lineage: Bacteria; Pseudomonadati; Pseudomonadota; Gammaproteobacteria; Vibrionales; Vibrionaceae
Description: partial 23S ribosomal RNA
Rfam family: Bacterial large subunit ribosomal RNA
Source: RNAcentral